Molecule: long non-coding RNA, 208 nt
Filed under: Mytilus galloprovincialis (Mediterranean mussel)
Lineage: Eukaryota; Metazoa; Mollusca; Bivalvia; Mytilida; Mytilidae
Source: RNAcentral
UGGGUGUCCUCUUUUGCUGUUUCUCAUAUAAUUUGUUUUUUGUUUUGCAUAGUUUAUUCUUAUGUUGUGCGAAAGAUUUGUUGCCAACAAACUAGUUUUUGCCACAUUAUAUAUGUGCCCGUCUCAAGUUAGGAGCCUUUAAUUCAGUGGUUGUCAUUUGUUGCUGUGUUACACAUUUGUUUUCCAUUCAUUAUUUUCUAUGUAAAUU